Molecule: non-coding RNA, 23 nt
Filed under: Arabidopsis thaliana (thale cress)
Lineage: Eukaryota; Viridiplantae; Streptophyta; Magnoliopsida; Brassicales; Brassicaceae
Source: RNAcentral
GUAAAUUAGUCCAAUUUCUCCUC